UUGACCUCAAAUCAGGUAGGACUACCCGCUGAACUUAAGCAUAUCAAU
This 48-nucleotide ribosomal RNA is filed under the name Suillus luteus. RNAcentral's name for it is "partial 28S ribosomal RNA". Lineage: Eukaryota; Fungi; Basidiomycota; Agaricomycetes; Boletales; Suillaceae. The record is from RNAcentral. RNAcentral also lists the same sequence under 62 other names.